RNAcentral lists this unclassified non-coding RNA (172 nucleotides) under uncultured Chaetothyriales. RNAcentral describes it as "sequence contains ITS2". The record is from RNAcentral. Lineage: Eukaryota; Fungi; Ascomycota; Eurotiomycetes; Chaetothyriales.
UCCUCCCUCAAACCCCCUGGGUUUGGUGUUGGACCGCGUGGGGCCGUCCGCGGCACCACGGGUCUCAAAGACAAUGACGGCGUCCGUGGGACCCUCUUCGCACUGAGCUUUCCGGAGCACGCGUCGAGUUUCAAGGUGUCAUGGGCCCGGCCUCUUAAAACGAAUUUUUUCA